Molecule: ribosomal RNA, 497 nt
Filed under: uncultured bacterium
Lineage: Bacteria
Description: partial 16S ribosomal RNA
Rfam family: Bacterial small subunit ribosomal RNA
Source: RNAcentral
GAUGAACGCUGGCGGCGUGCCUAAUACAUGCAAGUCGAGCGAACAGAUAAGGAGCUUGCUCCUUUUACGUUAGCGGCGGACGGGUGAGUAACACGUGGGUAACCUACCUAUAAGACUGGAAUAACUCCGGGAAACCGGGGCUAAUGCCGGAUAACAUUUAGAACCGCAUGGUUCUAAAGUGAAAGAUGGUUUUGCUAUCACUUAUAGAUGGACCCGCGCCGUAUUAGCUAGUUGGUAAGGUAACGGCUUACCAAGGCAACGAUACGUAGCCGACCUGAGAGGGUGAUCAGCCACACUGGAACUGAGACACGGUCCAGACUCCUACGGGAGGCAGCAGUAAGGAAUCUUCGGCAAUGGGCGAAAGCCUGACGGAGCAACGCCGCGUGAGUGAUGAAGGUCUUCGGAUCGUAAAACUCUGUUAUUAGGGAAGAACAAAUGUGUAAGUAACUGUGCACGUCUUGACGGUACCUAAUCAGAAAGCCACGGCUAACUACGUG